RNAcentral lists this ribosomal RNA (331 nucleotides) under uncultured bacterium. RNAcentral's name for it is "partial 16S ribosomal RNA". It matches the Rfam family "Bacterial small subunit ribosomal RNA", at positions 338 to 682 of the family's 1533-position model. The record is from RNAcentral.
CCUACGGGAGGCAGCAGUGGGGAAUAGUGGGCAAUGGAGGAAACUCUGACCCAGCAAUGCCGCGUGAAUGAAGAAGGUCUUCGGAUUGUAAAGGUCUUUAGUCAGGGAAGAAGAAAAUGACGGUACCUGAAGAAUAAGCUAGGGCUAACUACGGGCCAGCAGCCGCGGUAAUACGUAGGGAGCAAGCGUUGUUCGGAAUGACUGGGCGUAAAGGGGGCGUAGGCGGUUAUACAAGUUAGCAGUGAAAUACCCAGGGCUUAACUCGGGUGCUGCUUCUCAAACUGUAAGACUUGAGUGCAGUCGAGGUUAGUUGUAUUCCUAGUGUAGCGGU